Molecule: ribosomal RNA, 253 nt
Filed under: uncultured bacterium
Lineage: Bacteria
Description: partial 16S ribosomal RNA
Rfam family: Bacterial small subunit ribosomal RNA
Source: RNAcentral
UACGUAGGGUGCUAGCGUUGUUCGGAAUUACUGGGCGUAAAGCGCGCGUAGGCGGCUUUAUAAGUCAGGGGUGAAAUCCCACAGCUUAACUGUGGAACUGCCUUUGAAACUGUAAAGCUUGAGUAUCGGAGGGGAUAGCGGAAUUGCUAAUGUAGAGGUGAAAUUCGUAGAUAUUAGCAGGAACACCGGUGGCGAAGGCGGCUAUCUGGACGACAACUGACGCUGAGGCGCGAAAGCGUGGGGAUCAAACAGG